GCGGGCGUGAUGGAAUGGUAGACAUACCGGACUUAAAAUCCGGAGGGCUUUGCCCGUGCGGGUUCGAGUCCCGCCGCCCGUACCA
This 85-nucleotide transfer RNA is filed under the name Acuticoccus sp. I52.16.1. RNAcentral's name for it is "tRNA-Leu". It matches the Rfam family "tRNA". From Rfam's summary of the family: Transfer RNA (tRNA) molecules are approximately 80 nucleotides in length. Lineage: Bacteria; Pseudomonadati; Pseudomonadota; Alphaproteobacteria; Hyphomicrobiales; Amorphaceae. The record is from RNAcentral.